UACGUAGGAUCCAAGCGUUAUCCGGAAUUACUGGGCGUAAAGCGUACGUAGGUGGAGACUUAAGUGAGAUGCGAAAUCUAGCGGCUCAACCGUUUAGACUGUGUCUCAUACUGGGUUUCUUGAGGUUGGCAGAGGCAAGUGGAAUUUCCGGUGUAGCAGUGAAAUGCGUAGAUAUCGGAAGGAACACCAAUGGCGAAGGCAGCUUGCUGGGCCACACCUGACACUGAGGUACGAAAGCGUGGGGAGCGAACAGGAUUAGAUACCCUGGUAGUCCACGCCGUAAACGAUGGAUGCUAGUAGUUCGAGGUAUCGACCCCUUGGGCUGCGAAGCUAACGCGUUAAGCAUCCCGCCUGGGGAGUACGAGCGCAAGCUUAAA
This 377-nucleotide ribosomal RNA is filed under the name uncultured bacterium. RNAcentral's name for it is "bacterial SSU rRNA". It matches the Rfam family "Bacterial small subunit ribosomal RNA", at positions 524 to 898 of the family's 1533-position model. The record is from RNAcentral.